GUUCCCGGAGGUUAACAUCCGACAGCGCGUUGCGCCCUCGGGUGUCAAACUG
Non-coding RNA from Labrenzia sp. C1B10, 52 nucleotides. Lineage: Bacteria; Pseudomonadati; Pseudomonadota; Alphaproteobacteria; Hyphomicrobiales; Stappiaceae. The record is from Rfam.